This 253-nucleotide ribosomal RNA is filed under the name uncultured bacterium. RNAcentral's name for it is "partial 16S ribosomal RNA". It matches the Rfam family "Bacterial small subunit ribosomal RNA", at positions 524 to 776 of the family's 1533-position model. The record is from RNAcentral.
UACAGAGGAGGCAAGCGUUGUUCGGAUUCAUUGGGCGUAAAGGGUGCGUAGGUGGUUGGGUAAGUCAAAUGUGAAAUCCCGGAGCUCAACUCCGGAACUGCAUUCGAUACUGCCCGGCUCGAGGAUUGGAGAGGAGACUGGAAUUCACGGUGUAGCAGUGAAAUGCGUAGAGAUCGUGAGGAACACCCGUGGCGAAGGCGGGUCUCUGGACAAUUCCUGACACUGAGGCACGAAGGCCAGGGGAGCAAACGGG